Molecule: ribosomal RNA, 496 nt
Filed under: uncultured bacterium
Lineage: Bacteria
Description: partial 16S ribosomal RNA
Rfam family: Bacterial small subunit ribosomal RNA
Source: RNAcentral
AUGAACGCUGGCGGCGUGCCUCAUCCCUGCCAGUCGCGCGAACAGACGAGGAGCUUGCUCCUCUGACGUUAGCGGCGGACGGGUGAGUAACACGUGGAUAACCUACCUAUAAGCCUGGGAUAACUUCGGGAAACCGGAGCUAAUACCGGAUAAUAUAUUGAACCGCAUGGUUCAAUAGUGAAAGACGGUUUUGCUGUCACUUAUAGAUGGAUCCGCGCCGCAUUAGCUAGUUGGUAAGGUAACGGCUUACCAAGGCAACGAUGCGUAGCCGACCUGAGAGGGUGAUCGGCCACACUGGAACUGAGACACGGUCCAGACUCCUACGGGAGGCAGCAGUAGGGAAUCUUCCGCAAUGGGCGAAAGCCUGACGGAGCAACGCCGCGUGAGUGAUGAAGGUCUUCGGAUCGUAAAACUCUGUUAUUAGGGAAGAACAAAUGUGUAAGUAACUAUGCACGUCUUGACGGUACCUAAUCAGAAAGCCACGGCUAACUACGUG